This is a long non-coding RNA of Esox lucius (northern pike), 1103 nucleotides long. NCBI's taxonomy places the organism in Eukaryota, Metazoa, Chordata, Actinopteri, Esociformes, Esocidae. The record is from Ensembl.
AAAAAAUGCUAGAAUAUAACAAUGGGCACUCUAACCACUUUAAAUAACAAGGGGGACUCUAACCACUUUAAAUAACAAGGGGGACUCUAACCACUUUAAAUAACAAUGGGCACUCUAACCACUUUAAAUAACAAGGGGGACUCUAACCACUUUAAAUAACAAGGGGGACUCUAACCACUUUAAAUAACAAGGGGGACUCUAACCACUUUAAAUAACAAGGGGGACUCUAACCACUUUAAAUAACAAGGGGGACUCUAACCACUUUAAAUAACAAGGGGGACUCUAACCACUUUACUAUACUGAAUGUAGUGUUCAUGUCUAUGAUGUUCUCACUGUCUUCUAUCUACUAUAGACAAGACUGAUGACCUAAGGAAGGAGAAUGACAAGACUGAUGACCUCCUAAACCUUGAUUACCUGUGGAGAGAGGGUGAGUACAUCAUACGUACAUAAACACACAUACACACAGACACACACAUACAACACACACAAGCACACAGACACACACACACAUACAACACACACAAGCACACAGCCACACAUGCAAGCACAGACACACACAUACAACACACACAAGCACACAGACACACACACACAUACAACACACACAGGCACACAGCCACGCAUGCAAGCACAGACACACACAGUGGUGUGAAAAAGUUUUUGUUAUUAUUAAGGGAAAACAAAAUCCAAACAUACAUGGCCCUGAUUGAAAAGUGAUUGACCCCUACAACCUAAUAACUGGUUGGGCCACCCUUUUUCUGAAAUGCAGUGUUACUUUUACACCAGAUGUCAUGGGGGACACACCUUCCAAAAAGUUCAACUUUUGUCUCGUCAGUCCACAGAGUAUUUUCCCAAAAGUAUUGGGGAUCAUCAAGAUGUUUUCUGGCAAAAAUUAGACAAGCCUUAAUGUUCUUUUUCCUCAGCAGUCUUGGAACUGCCAUGCAGGCCAUUUUUACCCAGUCUCUUUCUUAUGGUGGAGUCAUGAACACUGACCUUAACUGAGGCAAGUGAGGCCUGCAGCUCUUUGGAUGUUGUUGUGGGGUCUUUUGUGACCUCUUGGAUGAGUCGUCGCUGCGCUCUUGGGGUAAUUUUGUCGACCGGAC